GAAAUUAUUUUACUCAUUGAUGCACAAAGGCCCACUACACAUUCUUAAAAAGAGAGAAAAUAAGAGAGAUCAAUGCAUGUUUUUCCACGUAUGGCUGCACUGAGAGACAGCAGACUCUAUGUUAAUUACCCCAAAUGAUUCAGAAGAUAGGAGAAAGCCAAAUCUUAUUAGAGGAGAAAUUUUGGACUGAACACUGGAUAUAAGCACACAUACAAACAUCCAUCUAUAUCUGUCGAUAUGCACACAUUCACUUGGGUAAUACUAAUAAGUAUUAGAUAUUGCAAAAUCAAACUUGAUAACCUGAGCUAGAAAGCAAACUUUGAAAUAUAAACCAUGGACAAGUACACAUUCUAAAAAUGCAGCUUUGAAGAAAUUGAUAGUUUGACACAACCAGGGGCAGAAAGUUUAGAACCCCUACCUUCACAUAAUA
This 430-nucleotide unclassified non-coding RNA is filed under the name Hevea brasiliensis (rubber tree). Lineage: Eukaryota; Viridiplantae; Streptophyta; Magnoliopsida; Malpighiales; Euphorbiaceae. The record is from RNAcentral.